This 995-nucleotide ribosomal RNA is filed under the name uncultured bacterium. RNAcentral describes it as "bacterial SSU rRNA". It matches the Rfam family "Bacterial small subunit ribosomal RNA", at positions 355 to 1375 of the family's 1533-position model. The record is from RNAcentral.
UGGGGGAUAUUGCGCAAUGGGGGCAACCCUGACGCAGCAACGCCGCGUGAAGGAUGAAGGUUUUCGGAUUGUAAACUUCUUUUAUUAAGGACGAAACUUGACGGUACUUAAUGAAUAAGCUCCGGCUAACUACGUGCCAGCAGCCGCGGUAAUACGUAGGGAGCAAGCGUUGUCCGGAUUUACUGGGUGUAAAGGGUGCGUAGGCGGCUUUGCAAGUCAGAUGUGAAAUCUAUGGGCUCAACCCAUAAACUGCAUUUGAAACUGUAGAGCUUGAGUGAAGUAGAGGCAGGCGGAAUUCCCCGUGUAGCGGUGAAAUGCGUAGAGAUGGGGAGGAACACCAGUGGCGAAGGCGGCCUGCUGGGCUUUAACUGACGCUGAGGCACGAAAGCGUGGGUAGCAAACAGGAUUAGAUACCCUGGUAGUCCACGCUGUAAACGAUGAUUACUAGGUGUGGGGGGUCUGACCCCUUCCGUGCCGGAGUUAACACAAUAAGUAAUCCACCUGGGGAGUACGGCCGCAAGGUUGAAACUCAAAGGAAUUGACGGGGGCCCGCACAAGCAGUGGAGUAUGUGGUUUAAUUCGAAGCAACGCGAAGAACCUUACCAGGUCUUGACAUCGAGUGACGAUCCCAGAGAUGGAAUUUCCCUUCGGGGCACGAAGACAGGUGGUGCAUGGUUGUCGUCAGCUCGUGUCGUGAGAUGUUGGGUUAAGUCCCGCAACGAGCGCAACCCUUACUAUUAGUUGCUACGCAAGAGCACUCUAAUAGGACUGCCGUUGAUAAAACGGAGGAAGGUGGGGAUGACGUCAAAUCAUCAUGCCCUUUAUGACCUGGGCUACACACGUACUACAAUGGCGUUUAACAAAGAGAAGCGAAACCGCGAGGUUGAGCAAAUCCCCAAAAAACGUCUCAGUUCAGAUUGCAGGCUGCAACUCGCCUGCAUGAAGUCGGAAUUGCUAGUAAUCGUAGGUCAGCAUACUACGGUGAAUACGUUCCC